RNAcentral lists this ribosomal RNA (677 nucleotides) under Serratia marcescens. RNAcentral's name for it is "partial 23S ribosomal RNA". It matches the Rfam family "Bacterial large subunit ribosomal RNA", at positions 1551 to 2207 of the family's 2925-position model. Lineage: Bacteria; Pseudomonadati; Pseudomonadota; Gammaproteobacteria; Enterobacterales; Yersiniaceae. The record is from RNAcentral.
UAACCCUGAGGCGUGAUGACGAUGCACUACGGUGCAGAAGUAGUUGAUGCCCUGCUUCCAGGAAAAUCCUCUAAGCUCCAGGUAACAUUGAAUCGUACCCCAAACCGACACAGGUGGUCAGGUAGAGAAUACCAAGGCGCUUGAGAGAACUCGGGUGAAGGAACUAGGCAAAAUGGUGCCGUAACUUCGGGAGAAGGCACGCUGGCAUGUAGGUGAAGUCCCUCGCGGAUGGAGCUGAAGCCAGUCGAAGAUACCAGCUGGCUGCAACUGUUUAAUAAAAACACAGCACUGUGCAAACACGAAAGUGGACGUAUACGGUGUGACGCCUGCCCGGUGCUGGAAGGUUAAUUGAUGGGGUCAGCCGCAAGGCGAAGCUCUUGAUCGAAGCCCCAGUAAACGGCGGCCGUAACUAUAACGGUCCUAAGGUAGCGAAAUUCCUUGUCGGGUAAGUUCCGACCUGCACGAAUGGCGUAAUGAUGGCCAGGCUGUCUCCACCCGAGACUCAGUGAAAUUGAACUCGCUGUGAAGAUGCAGUGUACCCGCGGCAAGACGGAAAGACCCCGUGAACCUUUACUAUAGCUUGACACUGAACAUUGAGCCUUGAUGUGUAGGAUAGGUGGGAGGCUUUGAAGCGUGGACGCCAGUCUGCGUGGAGCCAUCCUUGAAAUACCACCCUU